This 231-nucleotide ribosomal RNA is filed under the name uncultured bacterium. Its description in RNAcentral is "partial 16S ribosomal RNA". It matches the Rfam family "Bacterial small subunit ribosomal RNA", at positions 15 to 235 of the family's 1533-position model. The record is from RNAcentral.
GAUCCUGGCUCAGGAUGAACGCUAGCUACAGGCUUAACACAUGCAAGUCGAGGGGAAACGACAUCGAAAGCUUGCCUCCGAUGGGCGUCGACUGGCGCACGGGUGAGUAACGCGUAUCCAACCUGCCCACCACUUGGGGAUAACCUUGCGAAAGUAAGACUAAUACCCAAUGAUAUCUCUAGAAGACAUCUGAAAGAGAUUAAAGAUUCAUCGCUGAUAGAUAGGCAUGCG